CUACGGGAGGCAGCAGUUAGGGAUAUUCGGCAAUGGGGGAAACCCUGACCGAGCAAUGCCGCGUGAAUGAAGAAGUAUUUCGAUAUGUAAAGUUCUGUUGUUAAGGAAGAAAGGUACGAAUAGGAAAUGAUUCGUAAUUGACGGUACUUAACCAGAAAGCCCCUGCUAACUACGUGCCAGCAGCAGCGGUAAUACGUAGGGGGCGAGCGUUAUCCGGAAUUAUUGGGCGUAAAGGGUGCGUAGGCGGCCUGUCAAGUCCGAGUUGAAAGCCCACGGCUUAACCGUGGAGGGUGCUCGGAAACUGAUAGGCUUGAAUCCAGAAGAGGCAAGUGGAAUUCUAUGUGGAGCGGUGGAAUGCGUAGAUAUAUGGAGGAACACCAGUGGCGAAGGCGGCUUGCUGGGCUGGUAUUGACGCUGAUGCACGAAAGCGUGGGGAGCAAACAGGAUUAGAUACCCUUGUAGUC
Molecule: ribosomal RNA, 464 nt
Filed under: uncultured bacterium
Lineage: Bacteria
Description: partial 16S ribosomal RNA
Rfam family: Bacterial small subunit ribosomal RNA
Source: RNAcentral